UGUUCUCAGGGCGGGGUGAAAUUCCCCACCGGCGGUAUGGUCGCUCACCGGAUGUGGGGGGCCGAGCCCGCGAGCGCUGCUCUUGUGGGCAGGCCAGCAGAUCCGGUGUGAAUCCGGGGCCGACGGUGAUAGUCCGGAUGAGAGAGAAC
This 149-nucleotide non-coding RNA is filed under the name Corynebacterium pacaense. RNAcentral describes it as "FMN riboswitch (RFN element)". It matches the Rfam family "FMN riboswitch aptamer (RFN element)". Rfam says of the family: The RFN element is a highly conserved domain that is found frequently in the 5'-untranslated regions of prokaryotic mRNAs that encode for flavin mononucleotide (FMN) biosynthesis and transport proteins. This element is a metabolite-dependent riboswitch that directly binds FMN in the absence of proteins. In Bacillus subtilis, the riboswitch most likely controls gene expression by causing premature transcription termination within the 5' untranslated region of the ribDEAHT operon and precluding access to the ribosome-binding site of ypaA mRNA. Lineage: Bacteria; Bacillati; Actinomycetota; Actinomycetes; Mycobacteriales; Corynebacteriaceae. The record is from RNAcentral.